GUGUUACAGUGAGGACCUUUGCAUAGUAACUCUUUAAAUCUUUCUCAUGCCUUGUAUAAGGAUUCAUCAUCCAUUCGAUGGAAAGUAGUGAUCUCAUUCUGCAACUU
This is a non-coding RNA of Gossypium arboreum, 107 nucleotides long. NCBI's taxonomy places the organism in Eukaryota, Viridiplantae, Streptophyta, Magnoliopsida, Malvales, Malvaceae. The record is from Rfam.